CAGUCGUGUGUGUGAUAGGAACUCCUCCAUCCCUGGGGUGGAGGAGGCCUCAUGCCUAGAACCUGAUAAGGUCCUCUAGUAGUUGAGAGUUUGUCCUGGGACAAUGGGGACCUUGUUCUUAUAACUUCAAGGAACUGAAUUCUGUAGAUAAUAAAUGGGUGUUGUUUUAAGCCAUUAAAUUUAGGAUUUGUAUCUGAUUGGUUUAAUUAGAUGCUCUUUUUGCUUAUUUUAUUUUAACAUUUUUUAUUACAGUUGAUUUACAAUGUUCUGUCAACUUUCACUGUACAGCAAAGUGACCCAGUUAUACAUAUAUAUACAUUCUUUUCCUCAUAUUACCUUCUACCAUGUUCUAUCACAAAUGAUUGGAUAUAGGGUUUCCUGUUGUGGCUCAGCAGUAACAAACUUGACUAAUAUUCAUGAGGACGUGGGUUCAAGCCCUGACCCUGCUCAUUGGAUUAAGGAUCCAGCAUUGCUGUAGGCUGCAGUGUAGGUAGUAGAAGGGGCUCGGACCUCGAGUUGCUCUGGCUGUGGUGUAGGCUGGCAGCUAUAGCUCAGGUUCAACCCCUAGCCUGGGAAUAUCCAUAUGCCAUGAGUGCAGCUCUAAAAAGACAACAACAAACAAAAAAAACAAGUGAAUGGAAAAAAAAAGGGAGUUCCCUUUGUGGCUCAGCAGUUAACGAACCUGACUAGGAUCCAUGAGGAUGCAGGUUCUAUCCCUGGCCUCGCUCAGUGGGUUAAUGAUCCAGCAUUGCCGUGAGUGUGGUACAGGUCGAAGACUUUGCUAGGAUCCCAUGUUGCUGUGGCUGUGGUAUAGGCUGGCAGCUGUAGCUCCAAUUCGACCCCUAGCCUGGGAACCUCCAUAUACCUGAAGUGUGGCCCUAAAAUAGCAAAACAAACAAAAAAAAAAGCAAAUGGAUAUAGUUCCAUAUGCUAUACAGCAGGACCUCAUUGCUUAUCCAUUCUAAAUGUAAUAGUUUGUGUCUACUAACCCCAAACUCCCAGUCCAUCCCACUCCCUCCCCUUCUUGGCAACCAUAAGUCUGUUCUCUAUGUCCAUAAGUUUGUUUCUGUUCUGUAGAUAGAUUCAUUUGUGCCAUGUUUUAGUUUCCACAUAUAAGUGAUAUCAUAUGGUAUUUGUCUUUCUCUUUCUCACUUACUUCACUUAGUAUGAGAUGCUCUAGUUCCAUCCACGUUGCUACAAAUGGCAUUGUCUUGUUCUUUUUUAUGACUGAGUAGUAUUCCAUUGUGUAUAUGUACAACAUAUAUAUUUUUUUAAGGGCUGCACCCAUAGUGUAUGGAAGUUCCCAGGCUGGGAGUUGAAUGAGAGCUGCAGCUGCAAGCCUACACCACAGCCACAGCAACAGAAGAUCUGAGCCAUGUCUGCGACCUACACCACAGCUCACAGCAACACCAGAUCCUUAACCCACUGAGGGAGGCCAAGGAUCAAACCUGUAUCCUCAUGGAUACCAAUCAGUUUGUUUCUGCUGAGCCAUGAUGGGUACUCCUGUACCACAUCUUUUUAAUCCAUUCAUCUGUCAAUGAGCAUUUAGAUUGUUUCCACGUCUUGGCUUUUGUGAACAUAGGGGUGCAUGUAUCUUUUUGAAUGAAGGUUUGGUCCAGAUAUAUCCCCAGGAGUGGGAUUACUGGAUCAUAUGGUAGUUCUAUAUUUAGUUUUCUGAGGUACCUCCAUAAUGUUUUUCAUAGUGGUUGUACCAAUUUACUUUCCUACUAAUAGUGUGGGAGGGUUCUCUUUUCUCCACACUCUCCAGCAUUUGUUAUUUGUAGACUAAUUAAUGAUAGCCAUUCAGACCAGUGUGAGGUGGUACUUCAUUGUAGUUUUGAUUUGCAUUUCUAUGAUAAUUAGUGUUAUUGAGCAUUUCUUCAUGUGCCCGUGGUUGUCCAUAUGUCUUUUUUGGAGAAAUGUCUAUGUAGGUCUUCUGCCCAUUUUUCAAAUGGGUUGUUUGUUUUUUUGCUGUUGAGUUGUAUGAGUUAUUUGUAUAUUUUGGUAAUUAAGCCCUUGUUGGUUGCAUUGUUUGCAACUGUUUUCUCCCAUUUCAUUGGUUAUCUUUUGGGGGUUUUUGUUGUUGUUGUUGUUGUUGUUUUUAUGGUUUGGUUUGCUGUGCCAAAGCUUGUAAGUUUGAUUAAGGCUCAUUGGUUUAUUUUUGUUUUCAUUUCUAUUGCCUUGGGAAACUGACCUAAGAAAACAUUGGUAUGGUUGAUGUCAGAGUAUGUUUUGCCUAUGUUCUCUUCUAGAAGUUUUAUGAUAUCUUGUUUUAUGUAAGUCUUUAAGUGAUUUUGAGUUUAUUUUUGUGCAUGAUGUGAGGUGUUUAUUUUACUUUUCAAAAUUCAGACAAAAUUAAAAUCCAUUAGAAAGCAAUACAGGAGUUCCUCUCAUGGCACGGUGGUUAACGAAUCCGACUAGGAACCAUGAGGUUGUGGGUUCGAUCCCUGGCCUUGAUCAGUGGGUUAAGGCUCCAGUGUUCCCAUGAGCUGUGUUGUAGGUUGCAGACGCCGCACGGAUCUCUUGUUGCUGUGGCUCUGGCGUAGGCCAGUGGCUACCACUCUGAUUAGACCCCUUGACUGGGAACUUCCAUAUGCUGCAGGAGCAGCC
Molecule: long non-coding RNA, 2610 nt
Filed under: Sus scrofa (pig)
Lineage: Eukaryota; Metazoa; Chordata; Mammalia; Artiodactyla; Suidae
Description: lncRNA (ENSSSCG00050066523.1)
Source: RNAcentral